Long non-coding RNA from Nematostella vectensis (starlet sea anemone), 3303 nucleotides. RefSeq lists it as uncharacterized. The transcript has 2 exons. Lineage: Eukaryota; Metazoa; Cnidaria; Anthozoa; Actiniaria; Edwardsiidae. The record is from RefSeq and is a predicted model, not a curated record.
UAGCCUUUGAGCACAAGGGCUUGAUACUAAAAAGCGACGAAUUUUCGCAGCAAUUUGCUGCCCUGGAAAAACAUGUCGUAAUCAAGACAGCCUUUAGCCAACACUAAACCGCGGUGACUUGUUUAUAGCAAACAAGAUGAAAAGGCGAGCCGACCUCCUUGAAAGACCUCGAGGCACCGUCUUUGUUGAUAUAUCCGAACGUUCCAGUUUCCACUGAUAAGUUAAUCCAUCCCAAAAAGGCUCUUCGGUACAAAUAGGUAAUCAUCAGAGAUUCGAGACUGGAGUAUAAUCCCUAGUUCGCCGCCUACAACAGUUAACGCUAUGUCAUCAAAGCAUUGUGUUGGUUAUUGUAAGCUGGUUCGCGGCCCCGAUCUCCAUGUAUCAUAUACCUGGAAUCUCUAUUGAUAUACGCGACCUCCCGACAAGAAAAAAACGGAGAAAGAGCAAACAAACUGAUGGUGGCAGCGUGAAAAUUCAGAGCACAAAAAUUAAAGUGGAUGUGACGCUUUUCUAUUUUAAUUCACUGUUUCGAGACAUUUCGGCUUAUUCAGUACACAAAGCAACACUAAUAAUCUUAGACAAAUUAUAUAAUUCCAAAUAGUCUCCGUCACGCCGAUUAAUAAACUCCCCUAAAAUUCAAACGCCAUUUUUGUUUCGUUUCUAAUUAAUGUCAACUUUUUGAUAAUAUCUAUGCACUCUUAAAAAUGCAGCGAGAAGAAUAAGUCUUGUGUUUAUUUGCUACAAAGGAAAUGUUUUUUUUCUCCAGUAGUGUAAUUUUAGCUGCAAACUUAUCAGACUCCAUGAAUACAAAAAGCUGUGCCGCUAAAAGCUUUUAAGCGCGAUCUCCAAAUAUGUUGCAUUGAGAGGAGAUCUAUACGCUAUUAAAAAAUCAAGUCAGUCCUUGCGUCCGUGUGCUUAAUUGAGUCGGUACCGUUUGAACUCCGGCGUUGCAUCCAAUUUGAGCCAAUUUUACUUAAGAUAAACGUAAUUGAGCCUUCUUCUCACCUGUACGGCAAGAAAAAUAUGGAAAUAACAGAUCUUGACGCUAGCGGGUCUCGCGAGCCACAAAACACCAAAAGCCCCGUAAAGAACUCAAAUAUUCUUCACUUAGCUUAUAAUUAUGUACUUUGUGUAUUAUUUCGCCCAUCCGUCGGCUACUCGUGAUCUUCCGUAAGGACGCUUUUUGCCGGCCGAUAGACGAAGUGUCUGCGGGAAAAAGUCGGCGCUUUUCAACAAAGUUUUUCUCCUGAUAAGAAAUCACCCAAGAACCACCUACGCAAAAACAUUAUUUAUAUGAACAUAUAUAUGCACACGCAAAAAGAAAAAAAGAAAACGCAAUGAUUUGGACAAUGAAUUUAAACUCGUAAGAAAAGUAUAAUAAAAAGUAUGAUGUUUUUCAAAGAAAUAAACAAAGUAACCUUGGACUGAAUAGAGCUCAGGUGGGGUGUAUCGAACAAAAUGAACCUCUAAAUCAACAAUGUUUGUGUGCACACGAGAAUAAUAAUAAACCUUUGAGCCGUCUUGCGGCCAUUCUUGUUUGGGGUUUAUGAAACCACCAUUUGUCGUAGACUUUAGUUGCAACCCAAAACCACUGAACUUCUAAUUGUGUUAGUAAACUUGCGCCAGUGAUCUGCCAAACACUCGAUCUACAACGUGCUUUGCUCUUUUUGUCACACAUGACAUGGAUGCACUGCAAUUUACAAACGAGAUAUUUGAAAAGUUUUGGAGGCAAAGCCCAAACCUGGCUUUUUAAAGUUUCUGGUUGAUAAGGAGGGGUUCCCUGGGAACGCCUUUCGAUUUGACCUGUUUGACGUUACGUCAUGUCUGAUUAUAUAGUUCUAUAGCUCACAAUAGCCAACGACUCUGUGGAAGAAAAAGAGACUUUUCCUAAAUCAUUGUGUAUCUUUUUACUACGAUGAUGCGAAUGUGUGGCAAAAAGAUUCAACGGAUGCCAUUGCCCCAGGCGGGAGGGCAUUGCCAGAAAAAUAACUCCGCAAAGGGGCAGUUCUAGGGUCGAUCUUCAAUAUCUUUAUGGGUAAUCUCGCUUUGUUUUACUCUGCAAACACUUAUCUGCCGUACAAUCGCUAGAGAGAUUCUUAUGCCCACUGAGGCGAUCUUUACUCAAGUAAACAAGCUAUGUGCAGGAUGUUAUUUCACCAAGUACGCAUCACGCGAGCUCGAGAGAGGCCAGACGCCUUCUGUGAGCUUACUAUAGCUAACAUUUGCGUGAAAUGUUCCAGUUUCUAUAAGGGUCGAUUCAGAAACAUGAAACUGUGGUUUAGCCUUCUUCACUUCGGUACCUUUGAGCUGCCGUGCCAGCCGCUUGCAUUUAAACAAAAAGCCUACAGGCCGCAAACCUAAUUGCACUGUUUCUAUGGCUCUUCCCAAUUACAAGACUCUCGGGCUUCGGUCGGUACACGACAAAGGCAAUUAGGCCGAGCCGUGGUAAUGGCCACACGGCCCUCUUCUAAUAGGGAAAAGCGGGGAGGCGAAGCCCUGGAUAACAAUACACGGCAUUUACACCGAUAACCUGCAAACUUUUUUCUUAGUAAAAAUAAUAUUAAAACUUUGCUCUUAAUAGUAGCGAGUUGGCCAGUGCAUUUGUGUAUGUUUCGGUAAAGUUACCCUCUGUGUCGGGGAUGGUUCGUAUAAAAGACGUUAAUUCUUUAAGUCAAGAGCCUAACUAGGCCGAUAGAACAAUCAUAUAUACGGGCUUGUACGUUAAUUAGGAGCUAAGCCGCUAGGGUCCCUCUGGAUUAGUUUGCUCUUACUGAUCAUAGUAUUGCCGACAUAAUGGGGUUUACAUUUUGCCAAUGGUUCUUUUCAAUUGAGUCUAUUGACCGGUCCAGCCGACAAGCCGCUUUCGCAGUAAUCAUGCAAUCACUCUAAAAGGACCCUUGCUUUGUAUCUGGCUUAAACACACUGUUCUAGUUUGUUGGACAACAGGUUGAUUAUGACAACACCGCGGUGCCAGGGUAAUAUUUACAACGCGGCAAAUCUUGGUAAAAAAAAGACGACGACCUGCCCACGAAACCUUCACGAUUUUCAAGAGAACGUUGACUAAGACCAUUUUGGAGUAAUUUCUUUUCCCCCGUAGAAAUUUAGCCGCGUUACCACUCAACAUUUUUGCAUAUUCUUCGUACUUGAUGUGACACGAGUCGGUUAUUUUUACGAAAAAGGAGCAUCUAUCCAAAAUAAACGCUUCGCGUUACAAAUGUUAUGAUUUUGAAAAGGAAAACAUUAUAAUAUAAGAUUGCUUGUACAGCUAGAAAAAUAAACGCGAAAAUGUCAUAUAGAGCUAAG